AUAAAUUUAGGUUCUUCUGAAGUAACUGUCAGAUAUAAUUAAGCAAAGUGAUAUUUACUAAAACGUUCGAUAAUUAUUCAGUUGAGCAAAUAGUUAAGUAAAGACAUAUUUAUAAAACAUUUCGGUAAUAAUUCAGUUAGGCAAGUUAACUCAAAUAACUUUCACUUUGACACAUACGUUAUUGAAGUCAUUUUACUGAAUAACUGUCAAAAAGGUUUAGUUAUUGUCCGUUCUUUAUUAAAAAGGUACUUAAAAACUUUAAUCAGUGAAACAUAAUUUUCUAAGCAUUCGUUUUAGAUGAAAGGGUAUUUAUAUUUACAUGGGAUCCCACGUAGAUAAAUAACUAUAAACCUUAAAUCCACUAUACUACUACUAUAUUAUACUACUGUUGUGAAUUUUAUGGAAAACGUAAAACGUGAGAGACACGAAUAAAAAACGUAUAUGAAAGAACUUUAUUCAGCAAGUAUACUGCAGGAAGAAAAGUUGUAAAACUUUAUGUUCUUGAUAUCGUGAUUGGAAGUAGUUGCAGCAACAAAGAGGAGAUCUUAAAAGAGAGAAUUUCAAAAAAUGAACAAAUAAGAGCAACGUAUUCACUACAAUACGUACUAACGCAAAUUGGACUUAGAGACAAUCUGUUACUAUUUUACAUCGCGUUUAUCGUAAGUUUGCAAAAGCACAGAUCUGCUCUUGACGCACGAUUUAGGAAUCUUUGAAGCCUCUGCAGUGUACGGUGCCGUUUAUCUACGGUUUUAUAUAAAACAUUUAUAUAUAUAUAAGUAAAAUAUAUGUGCAGGAAGUAAUAUUCUUGUUUGCUUAUUAAAAUUUGUAUUAAACUUUAAUUAAAUGUUAAUUGAUUAUUUCAUCAUGAAUUGGUUAAAUAUCAAGUUCAAUAGCAAAGUUGGUAUCGUUGGUAUUAAUGCACUUGAUGGAAAUUUGUUACAAAAUAAUAGCAUAAAUAUUUAUAUAUAAAUACUUAAAUAUAAAUUUUUCGAUAUUUAAAAUCAAAUUCUAGAUUCUUUUGAGUUAGCUCAAAUGCAGAUAAAAAAGAGAAACCUGUUAGAACUGCUGUUAUUUAUCAGUUAAUACCGCGGCUUCAAGUAAUGUUAUAGAUAUUUUUAAGAUAUAUCGUACACUGCUGUUUUCAACGAAGAAGUGAACUGUACGAAUGCACACAUUGGAAUGAAACGCAUGAACUUCUGCCGUUAAAAAAAGGGUAAACUACGCAUGUGAAUUUCGACCAAGAUAUUAUUUUACGAAUAUUUUUCCGUGAGAAGUAACCACGUGUCGAAUUUCCCUCAACAUUAUAUUGAUCACUUAAUCGUCGUCUUCUUCUCGGGAGUAGGUGACAAAGUAUGAGUGUAUCGAUCGCAUUAUGUGCUAUCUUAUACUCUGUCUAUUUUAUUAAACAAUUUGCGUGGCAAUUUACUUUGGUAAAGAAAAUUGAUACAAUGUUAUAUAAUGUUAUAUGAUUAUAUAAUUCGCAAGUGCUCCUAUGCGAGAUGAGGUUUCACGAACCGUCACAAAAUAUUUUGCAGUCAAACGUAACUCGAUAAACUCAGAAUCAUUUAUAAAAUGAGUAUCUCCGUCCAAGAACGGUACUUCAGCUGGAAUAGAAUUUUAUUACUCGCUGUUGGCUUAUGGCCUUAUCACCAAUCAAGGUUUGCUCGAUUUCAGGCAGCGUUGUGUCUUAGUAGUUUGACAAGCUUCAUCGUAUUCGUGCUUUCACGACUUUAUUUUGUAGAAUACUCCUUUGAAUUUACUAUUAAUUUGCUUUGUAUGUCAAUGUAUUUUACUUUUCUUCUGAUUAAGUAUAUCUCCUUUUGGAUUAACAUAGAAACUAUAAAAUAUUUAUUAGAGCAAUUUCAAUAUAUCUACAAGAGGCUAAAGGAUUCGAAAGAAAUUGCUAUCUAUAACAAAUAUGGAAACAUUGGGAAACGAAUAACAGUCGGCUUCAUAAUAGUUGCAAUAUGCGAUCUGGCUUGUCUUAUUGCAAUGCAAUGUUGGCCAUUCAUUUUUGAUAUGAUUAUGCCCAAAAAUGUGACCUACGCGCGCCACCUCAUAGUAACUGUGACUAAAUACUUCGCCAUACAAGAAAAACACUUCUAUUUAGUGUUUCUGCAUCUAAACGCAGUCGCUGUUGUAGGAGGAUUUUCAUUUUUAGCGAUAGGGACAAUGCUAUUAUCAUGUUUUAAACAUAUCUGUGGAAUGUUCAGAAUUGCUAGCUAUCGCUUCGAACACGCAAUAACGAUCACGUUACAAAGUAUUACGUUAAAAAAUAAAACCAUGGUUUACAAAGAGGUUAUCUGUGCCGUGGACAUUCAUCGCAAAGCUACGGAGUUUGCCAUAUUUCUUGAGAAAAGCAUGGAUCGAUCAUUUUUCAUUAUCAUAAUGGUUAUUGUGCUCUGCAUGAGUUUUAAUCUUUAUGGCAUAUUUCAGAUUGAAUCACCUAUGCAGGAAAUAGAAAAGACAACAGAACAUCUCCUUUUUAUAAUUUUUAUUUUUAUAUACAUGUUCGUAGGAAACUAUAUCGGACAGGAAAUUACGGAUUAUAAUCAUCACGUAUUUCUUAUCGUGUACAAUGUUCCAUGGUAUCUAGCACCGCUGCAGAUACAAAAAUUGAUCUUGUUCUUAUUACAAAGAAAUAACAAAGUUUUCACGUUGACUAUCGGUGGAUUAUUCACAUUGUCUCUAGAGUGCUUUGCUUCGGUAAAGUUAUACAUUUACAGAUAUAUAAAUAAUACGUACGUGCAAUGUUCAAAAAUAAGAAGAAAGAUAAAUUAAGGAAAAUACAUUUGUUUGCAGCUAGUAAGUGCAUCAGUAUCUUACUUCACUCUCAUGCUAUCUUUGCAAUAAUAACGAACAUAUAACAUAUCCAAUAAUAUCAAAUUAGAAUAGAAGAAAUAGAUAUAAAUAGAAUAGAGUAAAUAAAUAUAUAACACUCAAUGAAAAUGCCGAUAUUCUCUUGUCCCAUUGAACUCAAAAAACUAGAAGGUACAAUCAGUUGAAUUGAUAAAAUCAGAUCUGAAAUGUUUCUCACGAUAAACAUGUAAUAUUUAUCAUUCGAAUAAAAUUUACGGAUAAGAAGAAAUGGAA
This 3093-nucleotide unclassified non-coding RNA is filed under the name Ooceraea biroi (clonal raider ant). RNAcentral's name for it is "odorant receptor 4, transcript variant X1". Lineage: Eukaryota; Metazoa; Arthropoda; Insecta; Hymenoptera; Formicidae. The record is from RNAcentral.